Molecule: ribosomal RNA, 301 nt
Filed under: uncultured bacterium
Lineage: Bacteria
Description: partial 16S ribosomal RNA
Rfam family: Bacterial small subunit ribosomal RNA
Source: RNAcentral
CAGCCGCCGCGGUAAUACGUAGGUGGCAAGCGUUGUCCGGAAUUAUUGGGCGUAAAGCGCGCGCAGGUGGUUUAAUAAGUCUGAUGUGAAAGCCCACGGCUCAACCGUGGAGGGUCAUUGGAAACUGUUAAACUUGAGUGCAGGAGAGAAAAGUGGAAUUCCUAGUGUAGCGGUGAAAUGCGUAGAGAUUAGGAGGAACACCAGUGGCGAAGGCGGCUUUUUGGCCUGUAACUGACACUGAGGCGCGAAAGCGUGGGGAGCAAACAGGAUUAGAGACCCCCGUAGUCCCUGUCUCUUAUAC